AGUUUUCCUAGCGAUUCAUAAAGAUUUUAACAAUUUGUAUUUUUUUAUUUAUUUAUUUAUUUUAUUUCUAAGACAAUUAAAAAAUUGUUAACUCUUAUUUUUACUUACUGGUAGACGCAAGAUGCUGCAGUAACGAUAAAUCGAGAAUUAUAGAUGAAACCUCCGCAAAUAUGAUUGUCAUUAAAGGUCACCUAGUUAUUUUUAAUUAUAACAAUGGUCAUGAAUGCAUGUGAUCAUUUCUUCUUUACAGGUAUUACCGAAACCAUGAAAGGAUAACGUCCUGCGUCAACGGCGCCAUUCUCGGCUCCAUUGAAGCCAUUAGAAAUGCGACCAAAUGGGUUGCUAACCGGUACAACUUCGAAAUUUUUUAUAUGGAAAUGGUAAUCAUCAUACCACCUUAAUUUUCAAGAAAUGAUUUACAUCGAUCCUUAUGAAAGGCGGAUCAUCUAGUGUUGUUGUUUGCUGACAGUCAAAACUUUACUGACUUGUAAUAUUUCGCUCCUACUUCAGUUUCAACUUUUGAGAAUUAUCCUCUUCGACUUUUGAAACGUGCGACGAAUCUACGUGGCCAGAUUCUUCAUAUUGGCAAAAGAGAUGAUCGUAUUUCUAGUUCCCAACAUGUAAUCGGAUUGAACUGAAGAGGACAACUAGAGAGGCAUCGCAGUUCAUAGGUGAGUAAAAAAAAAUAAUUUAUAAUUCUGCUUUUUGCUGUUCCUGCACUUUUGUUCAAUGAUUACACGAAGAUAAUACUCUUGCUCCACCUGUCGCACCAUCGACCGGUAGCCGAAAUAGCCACCCCUUAACGCCACGUAGAGAAAUGCUCUAUGUAAUUAAACCACUUAGCAUUCUUACAGUUAAACGCGGGCUGUGGACCACCAACCCUCAACAUCCAGUCAUUGUAGGCCGUUAGCCGAGUGUAAAUUGUUUCAAAGAGUUGGCUGUCACCGCAGCCCAAAUUUUUCGAUACUAUACCCAUGGCAUAAAUAUCGUGGCAGAGGUUGGAUAAAACAAUGGCGAACCUUCAUCGAAUUGACAUGGUCGCAUCCCAAAGUCCAACUCUAUGUCACCGAAACGAUGAAAGGAUAACGUCCUGCAGUGACAUCAGACAGCGCACAUUCUGAGCGCCAUUAUAUCCGUUAGAAAUGCGACCAGUUGCGUCGCUUAGAGGUUCAACUUCAACUUUUUACGUUAAAAGACGAAAAAAGCAAAAAUCACAAUUCGAUACAUGAUGCCAAACUGACCCAUAGGCAAUGCGGAUGCCUCUUUUGAAAGAUUGGACGAUAGUAUUGACGCCAUACCGUCUUGUUUACCUGCCACAAGGUUAUUUGAAAAGACCCGGCUGAUGCUGUAUUUUGUGUAAUUCCAUUUGGACAUCAACAAAUAGAGCCACAUUCCAGCUAUGUAAAAGGGAAAAAGAUGUAAACCAAGCUUCCUAAGUUUUUAAGAAAUUCGGUAUAGGAUUCUAGAUGAAGCCAAACAAUGAUUCGCGCUCGAACAAGAUGUUCGUACCUGUAUGUCCCAAAGAUGACCUUCUACGUGGAUUGGAGCCGGGGAGACGUCGCAAUUUAUCGGCAAAAUUCAACGAUGCUGUUAAUUUUUAACGAUCUGAUGUUGCAUCCGAAUUUGCCACGAGCAAACGACCUACCAUGAUGGGAAAACGAAUAAAUCAACUUCAAGGUUUUUUUCCUGUUUCGAAUGUGCAUCAGCGCGCAGCGGACAUUGAACCUUAGAUGCUCAUUCAGUUCCUCCGUACUUGUUCUCUACAAGAAAAUGGUUUGACUUUCUUGGACUUUCAAAAGUUUGAACAUCACAUGGCCAGCUAGUGACCUUGCCUUCUUUAAAUGAACGUCCAAGCGCGAAAAAUUCGACGUUAUCUACUAACAAUCAAGAUCAACUGGUUUGGAAAUCAUCCAAAUAUUGGCCGUUGGGAUUAUGCAACGCAUCGGGCUGCGAUUUAAACCGCCAACUCCUCCUCUCGGGAUGUCUCAUCUGAUAACGUUUUGUCAACAAAAACGUCAUUAAAAUUUGUGUUUUCGUGGUUUUUACGUAACAGCCGCGAUCCUAUUAUGGCGAUAGAUGUCGGUAUAGUUUGCACCACUGCACUUUUGUUGACAGCAUUGAUUGGAUGAUCGGAACCGGAACAAAACAUGGGGAUGAUGUAUAACAUCCACGUCGAAAUCGAUUUUCAAGAGUUCAUCGAUAAAUCGAUGUGGUUGUCUAGCGAAUGCCGCGGCUUUUCCGUAACUUCAACAAGGUCACGCAAAUCCCAGAGCCUCGUGUGUACAGAAAAGAUGAAAAAGAAAAAGCGACACGAGUCACGAGGAACGAGUUUGGACAAAAGUGCAAGGCAACCGAGUUGUUAAAAAUCGAUACACGUGAACUAAAUUGAAAUGUUGGAAACAACUGAUGAAACUUUGCAUGUCACAGGUUGAAUGAACUCAGAAAGCGACGAAUCAACGUGCAGAAAUCUAUCGGACUUUUCGAUCGAGCUUCAGUUACCAUCGGGAAUAUCGUUCUGGAAAAUACUCAAUUUCCUCCUACACCGCCUACAUUUUUUUGACGUCCAAUCUCUGCGAGCGGGCGAAAGUAGAACCGAGAGCGGGUUGCUUAUAAUGAGACCGUUCCCCGAAGGAAAUUGUGUGCCAGCCGCCUAGCCUUUUUUUUUUUUUUUCUACUUCCCUUUUUCUCUCCCGCCUUUCAUCCGUUGGUCGUCAUCACGUGUGUGUUGGCUGCGUUGAAAAGGGGAGAAAAAAAAGAUGGAGAAACAUGUACGCAUUUGAAGCGAAUGGAAUACAGACAAGAGAAACAGCUGCGUGUGGAAGCAGCAGCUCCGAUCGAUAAAAUCUACUGGCCCGCAGAAUAGAAAUAUAGGCUAGUAUAAAUGCUGUGUGAUAAGAACGACAUAUGGACUCGUGUUUGUAGUAGACGAGUCUUUUGUUUUUUUGUACAAGAAUCUCAUUGUUUGCGAUAUCGUCGCUAUGUUUCGUGUUAUGUCUACCAGAAAAAUGAGCUCAUUUUUGUCCAAGAGUCCAAACAAUCAAACUAAAUUCUAUCCCUCUGGCCAAAGAUCAGCAAGACUGGACUUGUGUUUGUCCAUACAAGAUGAGUCAAUAAGCGCAUGAUAAAUGCCUUACACAGAAAUAAUUCUAAACGUAGAGAAAACGUUAUUCGUUUCUUUUUAAUUACAAGUAAACUACCAUGAAAAGUGUAACAAUUCACAGCGGGAAGGUGGUACGAAUUCUUCUCGAAAUUCUAUAUUCCCCUUUCUCCUUGUGUACCUUUUGAAACUACGUCAUACGUACGAGAUGAAAGCCCCGGAACAAACACAUGGCAUUCGUACGACUUCUUU
Daphnia carinata is the source of this 3349-nucleotide long non-coding RNA. RefSeq lists it as uncharacterized. Lineage: Eukaryota; Metazoa; Arthropoda; Branchiopoda; Diplostraca; Daphniidae. The record is from RefSeq and is a predicted model, not a curated record. The transcript has 15 exons.